GAUGAACGCUGGCGGCGUGCCUAAUACAUGCAAGUCGAGCGAACAGACGAGGAGCUUGCUCCUCUGACGUUAGCGGCGGACGGGUGAGUAACACGUGGAUAACCUACCUAUAAGACUGGGAUAACUUCGGGAAACCGGAGCUAAUACCGGAUAAUAUAUUGAACCGCAUGGUUCAAUAGUGAAAGACGGUUUUGCUGUCACUUAUAGAUGGAUCCGCGCCGCAUUAGCCAGUUGGUAAGGUAACGGCUUACCAAGGCAACGAUGCGUAGCCGACCUGAGAGGGUGAUCGGCCACACUGGAACUGAGACACGGUCCAGACUCCUACGGGAGGCAGCAGUAGGGAAUCUUCCGCAAUGGGCGAAAGCCUGACGGAGCAACGCCGCGUGAGUGGUGAAGGUCUUCGGAUCGUAAAACUCUGUUAUUAGGGAAGAACAAAUGUGUAAGUAACUAUGCACGUCUUGACGGUACCUAAUCAGAAAGCCACGGCUAACUACGUG
This 497-nucleotide ribosomal RNA is filed under the name uncultured bacterium. RNAcentral's name for it is "partial 16S ribosomal RNA". It matches the Rfam family "Bacterial small subunit ribosomal RNA", at positions 28 to 507 of the family's 1533-position model. The record is from RNAcentral.